AGUCGAACGAGCGAGAGAGAGCUUGCUUUCUCGAGCGAGUGGCGAACGGGUGAGUAACGCGUGAGGAACCUGCCUCAAAGAGGGGGACAACAGUUGGAAACGACUGCUAAUACCGCAUAAGCCCACGACCCGGCAUCGGGUAGAGGGAAAAGGAGCAAUCCGCUUUGAGAUGGCCUCGCGUCCGAUUAGCUAGUUGGUGAGGUAACGGCCCACCAAGGCGACGAUCGGUAGCCGGACUGAGAGGUUGAACGGCCACAUUGGGACUGAGACACGGCCCAGACUCCUACGGGAGGCAGCAGUGGGGAAUAUUGCACAAUGGGGGGAACCCUGAUGCAGCGACGCCGCGUGGAGGAAGAAGGUCUUCGGAUUGUAAACUCCUGUUGUUGAGGAAGAUAAUGACGGUACUCAACAAGGAAGUGACGGCUAACUACGUGCCAGCAGCCGCGGUAAAACGUAGGUCACAAGCGUUGUCCGGAAUUACUGGGUGUAAAGGGAGCGCAGGCGGGAAGACAAGUUGGAAGUGAAAUCCAUGGGCUCAACCCAUGAACUGCUUUCAAAACUGUUUUUCUUGAGUAGUGCAGAGGUAGGCGGAAUUCCCGGUGUAGCGGUGGAAUGCGUAGAUAUCGGGAGGAACACCAGUGGCGAAGGCGGCCUACUGGGCACCAACUGACGCUGAGGCUCGAA
Molecule: ribosomal RNA, 684 nt
Filed under: uncultured bacterium
Lineage: Bacteria
Description: bacterial SSU rRNA
Rfam family: Bacterial small subunit ribosomal RNA
Source: RNAcentral